This 813-nucleotide ribosomal RNA is filed under the name uncultured bacterium. RNAcentral describes it as "bacterial SSU rRNA". It matches the Rfam family "Bacterial small subunit ribosomal RNA", at positions 8 to 806 of the family's 1533-position model. The record is from RNAcentral.
AGAGUUUGAUCCUGGCUCAGGAUGAACGCUGGCGGCGUGCCUAAUACAUGCAAGUAGAACGCUGAAGGAGGAGCUUGCUUCUCUGGAUGAGUUGCGAACGGGUGAGUAACGCGUAGGUAACCUGCCUGGUAGCGGGGGAUAACUAUUGGAAACGAUAGCUAAUACCGCAUAAGAGCAGUUGUUGCAUGACAGCUGUUUAAAAGGUGCAAUUGCACCACUACCAGAUGGACCUGCGUUGUAUUAGCUAGUUGGUGAGGUAACGGCUCACCAAGGCGACGAUACAUAGCCGACCUGAGAGGGUGAUCGGCCACACUGGGACUGAGACACGGCCCAGACUCCUACGGGAGGCAGCAGUAGGGAAUCUUCGGCAAUGGGGGCAACCCUGACCGAGCAACGCCGCGUGAGUGAAGAAGGUUUUCGGAUCGUAAAGCUCUGUUGUAAGAGAAGAACGAGUGUGAGAGUGGAAAGUUCACACUGUGACGGUAUCUUACCAGAAAGGGACGGCUAACUACGUGCCAGCAGCCGCGGUAAUACGUAGGUCCCGAGCGUUAUCCGGAUUUAUUGGGCGUAAAGCGAGCGCAGGCGGUUAGAUAAGUCUGAAGUUAAAGGCUGUGGCUUAACCAUAGUACGCUUUGGAAACUGUUUAACUUGAGUGCAAGAGGGGAGAGUGGAAUUCCAUGUGUAGCGGUGAAAUGCGUAGAUAUAUGGAGGAACACCGGUGGCGAAAGCGGCUCUCUGGCUUGUAACUGACGCUGAGGCUCGAAAGCGUGGGGAGCAAACAAGAUUAGAUCCCCUGGUAGUCCCCGCCGUAAA